This 1859-nucleotide long non-coding RNA is filed under the name Zea mays. RNAcentral's name for it is "long non-coding RNA (ZMAY_LNC003344)". The record is from RNAcentral. Lineage: Eukaryota; Viridiplantae; Streptophyta; Magnoliopsida; Poales; Poaceae.
ACAGGGUGAUUCCAUGUCCCGCUCGCGAUGGCCCCUGCACUACCGCUUUCGAUUCAAGGGUCGCCUCGCCGCAGACAAAGCCCACGAGGGCGCACAAGGAGAGCCCCGACGUACAUGCCCCUCAAUUCUCCCUCUGCCCUCUUGGUUCCGCUCUGCUCUCACCUUGCCAGGCGGUUGAGGUGUCUGAUUUGUUCUGCUAAUGUGGUAUUGACACAGGGUUUUGUCACGAAGCCAGAGAUGCUGACCGAUGGGAUAGUGAAGCUGAUGAUUUGGCACCGCACCAUUCCCAGCAUGCAAGGGUAAGCGACCCAAGGGUUCUUAUCUGUCCACUAUUUAAUCAAAUCCCCGUGGCGUUUUCGAUUCCUUUUUGUGUGCUCAGUUCUUUCUUUGUGUCAUGAGUUUUAGAACUUGAUUGGGAUGGUUUUUGUUCCAUGAGAAUUAUUAGGGUUUGAUCGGGAUGAUUCGAGUAUUAGUUCUUACGGUCACUGGAUUUUGCAUAUUGUCAUAGUCUAAUGCCAUUAAAUUUUGAAGGUAGCGAUACUGUUUUCACCCUAUUGAAUAGGGUAUAUGAUGAUGUUGGCAAUCACUAGAGCAGGUAAUAUUUUGUUAUUAAAGUUUUCAUGUCGUUUCUGCACUGCCAUGGCUUGAUCUGUGAGGAUCCAUACAUGCGUAUGGUUUAUGCUUGUAAGUUUUCUCCUUCCCUUGCUUUACACAUCUGCCAUAUCAUGCUUGACAAACACAUCAGUUUUGGCCCUAAUGUUCCGGUGUGUUUCUGUGUAACUUUGCCCCUUUCUUUGUGCCAAGAUUUUGUUCAUUGGGUCUGCAUGGGCUACCAGGGAUUAAGGUUAAUGAUUCAAUGAUGCUCUUUGUAUUAUGCUUAUGGUUGAGUAUGGCGUUUAACACUAACUACGAGAUAGGUUAGAACAGAAUUGGAAGACCAGCUUCUCUACACAUAUAGAUGCCAUUUUCUCGAUGGGGGGUUCAGUGAUUUCAAGGCGCUGCCUAGAGCAAGUGGAGAAUUGAGUGAUUUUUAGGAGCUCCUACGCUAUUUUUUAUAGAUGCCAUUUUCUCGAUGGGGAGAACAGAAUCGGGACAGGAAUGGAGAUGGAGGAAGACGACCGAGCCGCUCGAGUGCUGCUGAGCUCCCAGUGUCUCUGUCUCUGAUGAGGUUAGUACCUGCACUGCACCGCUCCUCCUGCUCCGCCAUGCUCUCCGCCGCAUUCCUCACCCAGCCUUGCUCGCAGCUACUAUUGUUCCUUGCUGUUGCUGCUUUCGGCACUGAUCUGGCUGGCGGCUCUUGGCUGAGAAAGAUCAAAAAACACUACCAGCCACCGCCAUCUCACACAGGCUGAAUAUCUAAGGUCUGAAACUCUGAAUUACUUGCAUAGCAAUUAGUAAGGUCACGAUGUUGGAUGCUGAUUUUUUUUGUUUUGAACUUCUCCUCUGGUCGAAUCUCCAUGGUUCAACACGUUGUGUGGCAUUGGAAUUCUCACCACAACUUAUGGAAUUAAGGAAGGGGAUGGUUAAGCCUCCUACUGCUCCCCUUGUUGGAUGUUUGAAAUGGUUAGUUUAUGAAAGCCACAGAAUUUAUUAUAUCAUGGUAACAGUAAAGAAUGGCUAUAUGAACGAAUGACAUAUUAAAAUCUGGAUAUUAGACUUAUGUAUGACUUUGGUAGCAUAUUCAUAUCCUGCCUUGAUUAUUUUUGUCUUGCUACUUACGCCUUUACUUUUCUUUUGAAUGUCAUCGAAUAAGGUGAUGUUGUUGUGUUGUCUGCAUUUGGAGCUGCUGUGGAGGAGGUACACACUAAAUGAGAAGAAAGUGCAGAUUGUUGAUACGACUUGCUCUUGUUUUUCAAAGG